This 277-nucleotide ribosomal RNA is filed under the name Hansenula anomala. RNAcentral's name for it is "Wickerhamomyces anomalus partial 28S ribosomal RNA". It matches the Rfam family "Eukaryotic large subunit ribosomal RNA", at positions 1 to 271 of the family's 3401-position model. The record is from RNAcentral. Lineage: Eukaryota; Fungi; Ascomycota; Saccharomycetes; Phaffomycetales; Wickerhamomycetaceae.
GUUUGACCUCAAAUCAGGUAGGACUACCCGCUGAACUUAAGCAUAUCAAUAAGCGGAGGAAAAGAAACCAACAGGGAUUGCCUCAGUAACGGCGAGUGAAGCGGCAAAAGCUCAAAUUUGAAAUCUAGCACCUUCGGUGUUCGAGUUGUAAUUUGAAGAUGGUAACCUUGGGUUUGGCUCUUGUCUAUGUUCCUUGGAAACAGGACGUCAUAGAGGGUGAGAAUCCCGUCUGAUGAGAUGCCCAUUCCUAUGUAAGGUGCUAUCGAAGAGUCGAGUU